Molecule: ribosomal RNA, 492 nt
Filed under: uncultured bacterium
Lineage: Bacteria
Description: partial 16S ribosomal RNA
Rfam family: Bacterial small subunit ribosomal RNA
Source: RNAcentral
AGUGAACGCUGGCGGUGUGCCUAAUACAUGCAAGUCGAACGGCAGCACAGUAAGAUCGUGCCCUUACGGGUGGCGAGUGACGGACGAGUGAGGAGUAGAUCGGAAUCUUAUAUUUCGGGGGUGAUAACGGAGGGAAACAUAUGCUAAUACCGCAUACGACCUACCGCUUAGAGCAGGGGAGCUUCGGGGCUUUGGCGACUGUAUUAGCCGGUGCCGGAUUAGCUUGUCUGCGGGGUAAAGGCACACCAAGGCAACGAUCCGUAGCUGAGCUGAGAGGAUGAUCAGCCACACUGGAACUGAGACACGGUCCAGACUCCUACGGGAGGCAGCAGUAGGGAAUCUUCCGCAAUGGGCGCAAGCCUGAUCCAGCCACACCGCGUGGGUGAUGAAGGCCUUCGGGUUGUAAAACCCUUUUGUUGGGAAAGAACAGCAGCAGAAUAAUCCCUCGCUGUUCUGACGGUACCCAAACAAUAAGCCCCGGCUAACUUCGUG